Selaginella moellendorffii is the source of this 1952-nucleotide RNA transcript. It is a transcript of the gene named amino acid transporter AVT1B, with no coding region annotated. The transcript is spliced from 15 exons. The record is from RefSeq and is a predicted model, not a curated record. NCBI's taxonomy places the organism in Eukaryota, Viridiplantae, Streptophyta, Lycopodiopsida, Selaginellales, Selaginellaceae.
GAAAAAACUGCCAAGGAGGAAGCUUGAGCUGUGAGAGAGCCUUUCUUCUUUUGGGAUACUCCAAGAGACUGGAAGGAUCUAACGUCCUGAAGAUCGUUUACACCAGAUCUAAGGCUCAUUGCCAUUGGAGCACAGUGAAGUUGUGAACCUGCACAAUGUAUGUUCCACAGAAAGGCUACCUUCCCCAGCGCCAAUAUGCAGCACACAAUAGUGAUGUUGACGAUGAAGAACAAGAAGAAGAGCAGGAGGAGUGCGAUGAAGAAAAGCAAGAUGAGGACGAAGUGACUCUGUGGCCUCAGAGCUACAGGCAAUCCAUCGACGCUUAUAGCUUCUUGACACCUCCAAAGCUCAGCAUUCUUAGCCCCGCGAGCCUGACUCGAUCGUUUUUAUCCUCCUCGGCUGGCAAGCGGUCGUACUUGCAAGACGACGAAGAAAAGGAUCUCAAAAGCCAACUCUUAUCAGCGCAGGGACAAGAUCAGGCAACUUCCACCGACACUACAACCUUGGUGGAAAGGAAACCUUCCAUUGUUACGAUCGCUCACGGAUUUCCGAGAGAACCUCAAGAUGAAGGCUGUGGCUUUACGCAGGCAUUGCUGAAUGGAAUGAAUGUUCUUGCUGGUGUUGGGAUCUUGACUACACCUUAUGCAGUGAAACAAGGAGGCUGGAUUGGAUUGGUUCUACUUUUCUCACUAGCCGUCAUUUGCUGCUACACCGGUAUUAUCUUGCGAAAAUGUUUGGAAAGCAGGCCGGGGCUGAAAACAUAUCCAGACAUUGGACAGGCAGCUUUUGGAAGCAUUGGACGACUGAUCAUCUCGAUUGUUUUGUACGUGGAACUCUACGCCUGCUGUGUCGAGUUUUUGAUACUCGAAGGAGACAACCUCUCGGUAUUAUUUCCAGGAACACAACUAUCUUUGUUCGGGUAUACGCUGGAUUCACAUAAGCUUUUUGCCAUUCUUGCUGCGUUAUUCAUCCUUCCAACAGUCUGGCUACGAAAUCUCCAUCUUCUCUCUUAUGUUUCAGCCGGUGGAGUUGUCGCGUCUCUUAUUGUUGUUUUCACGGUCUUCUGGGUUGGAGCAGUGGACGGAAUAGGAUUCCACGAAACUGGGAAGUUCAUUGACAUAGCUGGAUUGCCAGUGUCGCUUGGUUUGUAUGGAUUUUGCUACUCCGGACACGCCGUUUUUCCAAACAUAUACACGUCCAUGAAGAACAAAAGUCGAUACAAUCGCGUGCUAACCAUCAGCUUCGUUUUGUGUGCUGGGCUUUUCGGUGCUGUGGCAGCCAUGGGAUACAAAAUGUUUGGCGAUAAAACUCGGUCUCAGGUCACUCUCAACAUGCCAAAGGAGUUUGUGGCUUCGAAGAUUGCACUUUGGACGAUCGUUAUCAAUCCUUUUACGAAAUACGCACUGACGAUCACUCCGGUAGCGCUUAGUCUUGAGGAGCUGUUGCCGAUCAACAGCUCUCGCUUCCAGCAGCAUCUAGCCUCCAUUGUCAUCCGUACCUUGCUAGUCGCCUCGACAGUUGUCGUUGCCAUCUCGGUACCAUUUUUCGGCUUUGUGAUGGCGUUUAUCGGAUCUUUCCUUAGCAUGGCAGUGUCCUUAAUUCUUCCUUGUGCGUGCUACAUGAGAAUCAGAGGCAGCAAACUAAGCUUGAUGGAGCUUACUCUUGGUAUUGGUAUAAUGCUGGUUGGAAUUGUUUGCGCUGUGGGAGGAACAUUAUCUUCCCUUGACGCCAUCAUCAAACAAUUGAAGAACUAAGUUACAUCCUUUUAACGUUGCUCUCGGGCUUGAUUCUCUUGAGAGAUACUAAUGCUCCACUCGCCAAUUAUUAAAGAUUGUGUAAGUUUUGUUCCAUCGCGACAGUGAGCUUGCACGAGUCAUCUCGAGCUUGCACGUUUGUUCUUGUUUUGCUUGGAAAGGUUCUCAUAACGUAUCAAGAGCUAAGAUUGUAAGUUA